RNAcentral lists this ribosomal RNA (195 nucleotides) under uncultured Pseudomonas sp. RNAcentral's name for it is "partial 16S ribosomal RNA". It matches the Rfam family "Bacterial small subunit ribosomal RNA", at positions 338 to 525 of the family's 1533-position model. Lineage: Bacteria; Pseudomonadati; Pseudomonadota; Gammaproteobacteria; Pseudomonadales; Pseudomonadaceae. The record is from RNAcentral.
CCUACGGGAGGCAGCAGUGGGGAAUAUUGGACAAUGGGCGAAAGCCUGAUCCAGCCAUGCCGCGUGUGUGAAGAAGGUCUUCGGAUUGUAAAGCACUUUAAGUUGGGAGGAAGGGCAUUAACCUAAUACGUUAGUGCUUUGACGUUACCGACAGAAUAAGCACCGGCUAACUCUGUGCCAGCAGCCGCGGUAAUA